AUGAUCGCACUAUUGCCAAAGAAGAACAGAGCCUCGGAGAUUGGCCACUACCGCUCGAUAAGUUUGAUUCACUCCAUCGGAAAAUUGUUGGCAGAAGUGUUAUCUCUCCAUCUAUCCGGGGUACUCCAGGUUGUUCUCUCACUAGCACAAAGGGCAUUUCGGAGGAAGAAAUGCAUUCAGGACUCCUUCAUGUAUGUGCAACGCAUUCAUGACUCCUUCCUGUACAUGCAAAACUGUGUCCACUCCCUGCAUCGAAACAAAAAACCAGCGCUGGUGAUCAAGAUUGACAUAGCUAGGGCCUUCGACUCCGUAGCUUGGGAUUAUCUCCUUGAACUUCUUCAAUGGCUAGGUUUUAGCGCGCGAUGGUGCGAUUGGAUAGCUACUCUUCUGUCUUCGGCCUCGUUGUCAUGCCUCCUUAAUGGAGUGCCCGGAGAGAUGACCGAGCAUGUUGUUCGAAAUAUUCCCUAG
RNAcentral lists this ribosomal RNA (468 nucleotides) under Triticum aestivum (bread wheat). RNAcentral describes it as "partial small subunit ribosomal RNA". Lineage: Eukaryota; Viridiplantae; Streptophyta; Magnoliopsida; Poales; Poaceae. The record is from RNAcentral.